Molecule: ribosomal RNA, 65 nt
Filed under: uncultured bacterium
Lineage: Bacteria
Description: partial 16S ribosomal RNA
Source: RNAcentral
GAGAGGGCGGACGGCCACAUUGGGACGUGAGACACGGCCCAAACCUACCCUACGGAAGGCAGCAG